GACGAACGCUGGCGGCACGCCUAACACAUGCAAGUCGAACGGAGAAAAUAGCUUCGGUUGUUUUCUUAGUGGCGGACGGGUGAGUAACACGUGAGGAACCUGCCUUUGAGAGUGGGAUAGCUUCUGGAAACGGAUGGUAAUACCGCAUAACAUAGCGAAACCGCAUGAUUUUGCUAUCAAAGUAUUUCGCUCAGAGAUGGCCUCGCGUCUGAUUAGAUAGUUGGUGAGGUAACGGCUCACCAAGUCGACGAUCAGUAGCCGGACUGAGAGGUUGAACGGCCACAUUGGGACUGAGACACGGCCCAGACUCCUACGGGAGGCAGCAGUGGGGGAUAUUGCACAAUGGGGGAAACCCUGAUGCAGCGAUGCCCGUGGAGGAAGAAGGUUUUCGGAUUGUAAACUCCUGUCGUAAGGGAAGAGGAAGGACUGUACCUUACAAGAAAGUUCCGGCUAACUACGUGCCAGCAGCCGCGGUAAUACGUAGGGAGCGAGCGUUGUCCGGAAUGACUGGGUGUAAAGGGAGCGUAGGCGGGAUGGCAAGUCAGAUGUGAAACCUGAGGGCUCAACCUUCAGACUGCAUUUGAAACUGCUGUUCUUGAGUGAAGUAGAGGUAAGCGGAAUUCCUGGUGUAGCGGUGAAAUGCGUAGAGAUCAGGAGGAACAUCGGUGGCGAAGGCGGCUUACUGGGCUUUUACUGACGCUGAGGCUCGAAAGCGUGGGGAGCAAACAGGAUUAGAUACCCUGGUAGUCCACGCUGUAAACGAUGAUUACUAGGUGUGGGGGGGGGGCCCCCCUCCCUGCCGGCAGGUAUCACACUAAGUUAUCCCCCUGGGGGGUACGUCCGCACGGUUGAAACUCAAAGGUAUGGUCGGGGGCCCGCCCCCGCAGUGGAGUAUGUGGUGUUUUUUGUAGCAACGCGAAGAGCCUUACCAGGUCUUGUCAUCGAGUGACGUAUCCCGAGAUGGAUAUUUCUUUCGGGGCGCACCCACAGGUGGUGCGUGGUUGUAGUCAGCUCGUAUAAUGUGAUGUUGGGGUAAGUCGCGCAACGAGAGCAACCCUUAUCAUUAGUUGUUACGCAAGAGCACUCUAAUGAGACUGCCGUUGACAAAACGGAGGGAGGUGGGGGGGGCGUCAAAUCAUCA
Molecule: ribosomal RNA, 1141 nt
Filed under: uncultured bacterium
Lineage: Bacteria
Description: bacterial SSU rRNA
Rfam family: Bacterial small subunit ribosomal RNA
Source: RNAcentral